Molecule: unclassified non-coding RNA, 283 nt
Filed under: Hevea brasiliensis (rubber tree)
Lineage: Eukaryota; Viridiplantae; Streptophyta; Magnoliopsida; Malpighiales; Euphorbiaceae
Source: RNAcentral
CUCCCUUCUCCUUUAGUGGAGUUUGGAGCAUUCUCUGCUAUAGAACAAUCAGUUUAUUCUCCUUCAGAGAUGUGUGAAUUCGGAGCAAAUCCUCUAUCUGAAAGGUCUCCUACUAGACCGUCUUGUGGAGGAUAUACAGCUGAUGACUCGGAGGAGAACAUUGGAGUGCCGCAGCCUCUUGCGAGUUUACAGGAGAAUCCAAUACCGCCGUUUCUGUCGAAAACUUAUGAUCUCGUGAAUGAUCAGACGCUGGACCCCAUUAUCUCGUGGGGAAACACGGGGG